UGGAAAUUUAAGGGCCCAAAAGUC
Molecule: non-coding RNA, 24 nt
Filed under: Arabidopsis thaliana (thale cress)
Lineage: Eukaryota; Viridiplantae; Streptophyta; Magnoliopsida; Brassicales; Brassicaceae
Source: RNAcentral